UACGUAGGGGGCAAGCGUUGUCCGGAAUCAUUGGGCGUAAAGAGCGUGUAGGCGGCCCGAUAAGUCCGCUGUGAAAGUCCAGGGCUCAACCCUGGAAUGCCAGUGGAAACUGUCGGGCUAGAGUCCGGAAGAGGCGAGUGGAAUUCCUGGUGUAGCGGUGAAAUGCGCAGAUAUCAGGAGGAACACCAAUGGCGAAGGCAGCUCGCUGGGACGGUACUGACGCUGAGACGCGAAAGCGUGGGGAGCAAACGGG
RNAcentral lists this ribosomal RNA (253 nucleotides) under uncultured bacterium. RNAcentral's name for it is "partial 16S ribosomal RNA". It matches the Rfam family "Bacterial small subunit ribosomal RNA", at positions 524 to 776 of the family's 1533-position model. The record is from RNAcentral.